UGAGACGUUGAUGAUGCUCCUAUCACCAUGGUUAUGUGAUUGGGUAUAUCUUGCCCUCGGUCCUAACUGCCACUGUCUGUGCUGAGUUUUUCAAAGUUCAUAGCAGGUUGAACAUGCUUGCUGUCAUUUUCACAGAUUCUGGUCUUUCUUAUGGGGAACCUGAGUUCCUGCAUUAAAGUUCCCCCAGAAGAUCAAUGGAAGGUGGAUUCCAAAGAGUGGGCAAGUGAGGACCCCUUCUCUGUUACCAAGGUGACCCCAAGGAACACAGUAAAUGAAAUUUUAAGAAGAUAUAGCCUCUACACCAAGAGGCACAUGACACAACCUGGACUCUGGGCAAACCACCGGGUGCACUCACAUGAAGUGGCGGCUUAUUUGGCCUCCCCAGGACGGACUGGAGCAUCAGUAGUGCCUGAGUUCAUCAAAGGACAGAUGCUCAAGACACCUUGAUCACCAUUAGGUGGAAUUGAAGGAGCCAAAAAUGGGCGCAGUGGCUCCUCAGCAGAGACGCUCCUGAAUGUAUAGACAUGGGAACCACUUUCAGCAUCAAAAAAGGAAACGUUCUGCAUGCCCAUAUCCAGAAAAAUCCCCACUCGCUGUAACUUGCGGUCUACUAAGAGGAAAGUCAGCGGCACCGUGCUGGCAGAGAGGCGGCUUCCAUCCCUCAAACUCACAGUCCAGAAUCCAAGCUCUGUGGUCAGCUGGAUCUUCCCUUUGCAGUGAACAGAUUCUCUGCAGACUCCCAGGUCCCAUUCUGUGCUUGUUCCCACGUCCACCUCCCAGUAGUGGCGGCCACAGGUAAAGCGAGGGGAGCCCAGGAUGCAAACGGACACGUCAAAUCUCUCGGCAAGGUCUUGCCGAUUCUGUGUGAUGAGCCCACUUCGGACGCUCCUGAGGUCGUCAGAAAUGAGGAGGAAGUUGUUGGCUGUGUCGGCAUCCAAGGUCAUAUCCACUGUGAAAAGGAAAACAAGUUGCUCAGCAAGUGGACAGAAGCCAACCCCAUGCCUCUCUUCUACUUCAAAGGCCCAAAUAUCUCCUGACUUUAGUUUCUUUAAUUCUGUUUCUUCCUCCAAAAUCAAAACUUUUCAUGAGGAAACUUCCCUAUUUCAAAUUUUCAUAGGUAUGCUUUGUGGCAAUACGUGACUCUUAUUCACAGUAGCAAUUCUUAUUUUACUUUACGUCACGUGUUUGCUUCACUGAACUUUUCUUCAUUUAGAGUGGAGGGUCUCUGAAGGCAGACACCAUGCCCCCCUUUCUACCACCUUGAUGUGUGAACAAAUAAAUGAUAAUUAAGACAAUGCAAGUGGUCAAUAUUAAA
This 1315-nucleotide long non-coding RNA is filed under the name Homo sapiens (human). RNAcentral describes it as "RFPL3 antisense". The record is from RNAcentral. Lineage: Eukaryota; Metazoa; Chordata; Mammalia; Primates; Hominidae.